GAUGAACGCUGGCGGCACGCCUAAUACAUGCAAGUCGAACGAGAGGAAGGAAAGCUUGCUUUUCUGAAUCUAGUGGCGAGCGGGUGAGUAACACGUAGGUAACCUGCCCAUGUGCCCGGGAUAACUUCUGGAAACGGAUGCUAAAACCGGAUAGGUAGCAGACAAGCAUUUGACUGCUAUUAAAGUGGCUAAGGCCAUGAACAUGGAUGGACUUGCGGUGCAUUAGCUAGUGGGUGAGGUAACGGCCCACCAAGGCGACGAUGCAUAGCCGGCCUGAGAGGGCGGACGGCCACAUUGGGACUGAGACACGGCCCAAACUCCUACGGGAGGCAGCAGUAGGGAAUUUUCGUCAAUGGGGGGAACCCUGAACGAGCAAUGCCGCGUGAGUGAGGAAGGUCUUCGGAUCGUAAAGCUCUGUUGUAAGAGAAAAACGACAUUCAUAGGGAAUGAUGAGUGAGUGAUGGUAUCUUACCAGAAAGUCACGGCUAACUACGUGCCAGCCGCCGCCGUAA
Molecule: ribosomal RNA, 512 nt
Filed under: uncultured bacterium
Lineage: Bacteria
Description: partial 16S ribosomal RNA
Rfam family: Bacterial small subunit ribosomal RNA
Source: RNAcentral